Molecule: ribosomal RNA, 253 nt
Filed under: uncultured bacterium
Lineage: Bacteria
Also listed under: 1 other name
Description: partial 16S ribosomal RNA
Rfam family: Bacterial small subunit ribosomal RNA
Source: RNAcentral
GACGAACCGUGCGAACGUUGUUCGGAAUCACUGGGCUUAAAGGGCGCGUAGGCGGGCCGCAAAGUCUGUGGUGAAAUCCUCCAGCUUAACUGGAGAACUGCCUCGGAUACUGGCGGUCUCGAGGAUGGUAGGGGCGUGCGGAACAGUUGGUGGAGCGGUGAAAUGCGUUGAUAUCAACUGGAACUCCGGUGGCGAAGGCGGCACGCUGGACCAUGUCUGACGCUGAGGCGCGAAAGCCAGGGGAGCAAACGGG